GUGCUCGCUUCGGCAGCACAUAUACGAAAAUUGGAACGGUAUAAGAAGAUUAGCAUAGCCCUGCGCAAGGAUGACACACAAAUUCGUGAAGCAUUCCAUAUUUCA
Molecule: small nuclear RNA, 105 nt
Filed under: Laticauda laticaudata (blue-ringed sea krait)
Lineage: Eukaryota; Metazoa; Chordata; Lepidosauria; Squamata; Elapidae
Source: RNAcentral